Molecule: ribosomal RNA, 436 nt
Filed under: uncultured Oscillospiraceae bacterium
Lineage: Bacteria; Bacillati; Bacillota; Clostridia; Eubacteriales; Oscillospiraceae
Description: partial 16S ribosomal RNA
Rfam family: Bacterial small subunit ribosomal RNA
Source: RNAcentral
ACGGGAGGCAGCAGUCGGGAAUAUUGCGCAAUGGAGGAAACUCUGACGCAGUGACGCCGCGUGCAGGAAGAAGGUUUUCGGAUUGUAAACUGCUUUAGACAGGGAAGCAGAAGUGACAGUACCUGUAGAAUAAGCUCCGGCUAACUACGUGCCAGCAGCCGCGGUAAUACGUAGGGAGCGAGCGUUAUCCGGAUUUAUUGGGUGUAAAGGGUGCGUAGACGGGAAAUUAAGUUAGUUUUGAAAUCCCACGGCUCAACUGUGGAACUGCAACUAAAACUGGUUUGCUUGAGUGCUGGAGAGGAAAGUGGAAUUCCUAGUGUGGCGGUGAAAUGCGUAGAUAUUAGGAGGAACACCAGUGGCGAAGGCUACUUUCUGGACAGAAACUGACUUUGAGGCACGAAAGUGUGGGGAGCAAACAGGAUUAGAUACCCUGGUA